This 830-nucleotide unclassified non-coding RNA is filed under the name Acanthaster planci (crown-of-thorns starfish). RNAcentral describes it as "uncharacterized LOC110986334, transcript variant X1". The record is from RNAcentral. Lineage: Eukaryota; Metazoa; Echinodermata; Asteroidea; Valvatida; Acanthasteridae.
AUGGGCCAUUGAGGUGUUGCAGUUUUUGUAAAGGCCCAUUGAUCCGUUACGCACAAAUCCCCACAUGUAACCAAUGGAGCUGUAGGUGGAGCUGCAGGGCAGGCAUUAUAUACAUCAGAGACCUUGCAAUUAAAACAAAUAGCCCCACAUGUCUGAAACGAUGACUCAUCGUGCCAUGUGAGUCAUUUCAGCUUGCGUGGCUUGCUAGGAAAUACCUUCAUUUAGGUGUCUGUGCUGAUGGCAUUAUUGUUAGUACGUAGAUGUCGGAGCUGAGUGUGUUUGGGUGAGGGAGUUCACAGCACAUUGGAUGUGAUAAUGGUUCAGGAGUCAACAGUGUUUUGGUGGGCAGGUUCACCUUGAUGACUUCACCGUUUGAUCUAUUGGACCUACUGUGGCUUGUACAGCCAGCUUGUCCAUUAGAUAAACAUACAUGACCCGGCUCCACAACCCUAGAUGACCCAAGUUGACCUGAGGAGCCUUGGCCUUGAUAUGACUGUUUCCUGUGGACGCCCAGGGCGGGUGCAUGCUGCAUGUUUUUGACUGCCAGAUAACUGCGGCGGCCAUGACUUGGUGUCUUGUGGGUAACACAGGGGCAGUUCACAUUUUGCCUCAGUCUAUGAUCUUCGUCGGGCGAGACAACUGCGACAUUAACAUUCAGUCUCGGAGCGUUGAUAAGCGCCACUCUGUCAUUAACUUUGACCAAUAUGACAAGGCUUUUUUCAUCAAGGACAUGGAGACUUUAAAUGGGACAUUUGUUAAUGAAACCAGAAUACCUGAUCAGACUUAUAUCAGUUUGCAGCGUGGAGACUCUAUUAGGUUUGGAUAUGAUA